AUUGAACGCUGGCGGCAUGCCUAACACAUGCAAGUCGAACGGAAACGGGCCUACCGGUGCCGCCGAGUGGUGGACGGGGGCGUAAUAGAUAGGAACGUAUCCGAUCGUUGUGGGUAACGAGUCGAAAGCUUUGCUAAUACCGCAUACGAUCUACGGAUUAGAACAGGGGAGCGCAAGGCCUUACGCGGGCGUUGCGGCCGAUGGCAGAUUAGCUAGUUGGUGGGAUAAAAGCUUACCAAGCCGACGAUCUGUAGCUGGUCUGAGAGGAUGAUCAGCCACACUGGGACUGAGACACGGUCCAGACUCCUACGGGAGGCAGCAGUGGGGAAUUUUGGACAAUGGGCGCAAGCCUGAUCCAGCCAUGCCGCGUGCGGGAUGAAGGCCUUCGGGUUGUAAAGUGCUUUUGUACGGAAAGAAAAGCUUUCUUUUAAUACAGGAGGGUCAUGACGGUACCGAAAGAAUAAGCACCGGCUAACUACGUG
This 482-nucleotide ribosomal RNA is filed under the name uncultured bacterium. RNAcentral's name for it is "partial 16S ribosomal RNA". It matches the Rfam family "Bacterial small subunit ribosomal RNA", at positions 30 to 507 of the family's 1533-position model. The record is from RNAcentral.